UACGUAGGGAGCAAGCGUUGUCCGGAAUCAUUGGGCGUAAAGCGCGCGUAGGUGGCUUCAUAAGUCCGUUGUGAAAGUCAAAGGCUCAACCUUUGAAAGCCGAUGGAUACUGUGAAGCUAGAGUACGGAAGAGGCGAGUGGAAUUCCUGGUGUAGCGGUGGAAUGCGCAGAUAUCAGGAGGAACACCAAUAGCGAAGGCAGCUCGCUGGGACGUUACUGACACUGAGGCGCGAAAGCCAGGGGAGCAAACGGG
RNAcentral lists this ribosomal RNA (253 nucleotides) under uncultured bacterium. RNAcentral's name for it is "partial 16S ribosomal RNA". It matches the Rfam family "Bacterial small subunit ribosomal RNA", at positions 524 to 776 of the family's 1533-position model. The record is from RNAcentral.